This is a long non-coding RNA of Populus trichocarpa (black cottonwood), 1278 nucleotides long. RefSeq lists it as uncharacterized. The transcript is spliced from 2 exons. NCBI's taxonomy places the organism in Eukaryota, Viridiplantae, Streptophyta, Magnoliopsida, Malpighiales, Salicaceae. The record is from RefSeq and is a predicted model, not a curated record.
AGUAAUGAGUUUGUUGGGUUUCUCUGCAAAAAUGUUAGGGUUGUUGGAAAAAAUUCAUCAAUCUCAGUAUCGUCUUCGUCCAGAUGCAUCUUAAGCAUUACAAGUGCAACAAAUCAACACUCGUUAACUGUUUCUUACCUCAUAAAUUCAUGUGGGUUCUCUCCUAAAUCUGCUCUUAUUGUUUCCAAGAAUGUCUGUUUUGAAACCCUGACUCGGUUCUUUCCUUGCUCAAAAAUCAUGGUUUCUCACAAACCCAAAUCUUAAAUAUUGUCAAAUCACAUGCUAAACUCCUUAUCUGCAAUCCUGAGGAUGCCCUCUUUCCCAAAUUGGAUUUCUUCAACUCCAUAGGACUUUCUUGCUCUGAUAUUGCAAAACACCCUUUGCUUUUGGUCAGAGGCUUAAAAAACCACAUUAUCCCAACUUUUAGUUUCUUGAAAGGGAUAUGGCAAGUAGGGCCAACCUUUGGCGUGAGAAUGGAGUGUUAGAAUCGAAUAUCGUUAAAUUGGUUUAUUACUGUCCUAGGGUGUUCUCAAUGAAUUUGAUAAAGUCAAAAACCUUGUAGAGGAAGCGAGGGAUAUGGGGUUUGAACCUUCUAAGCGUAUAUUUGUUGCUGGAAUGAGUUCACUCAUGUCAAUGAGCAAAUCGACAUGGGAAAAAAAGGUUGAUGCUUAUAAAAGUUGGGACUUGUCUGAGGCAGAUAUUCUUACUGCAUUAGAAAAGAUUCAUGGAAACAUCUUAGGAUAAAAUUACGGCUGUAAUGGAUCUUUUUGUUAACAAGUUGGAUUGGGAGUCUUCAGUGCUUAUGGCAUUUAGCUUGGAGAAGAGACUCAUUUCCUGGGCUACGGUUUUGGAAUUUCUAGUAUUGAAAGGUUUGGUUAAGAAAAAUUGCAGAAGCGCUACAUUUUUUGUGUGUCCUGAAACAACAUUCUUGAGGAGGUUUGUGCAUCAUUUCGAUGAAGCUUCUGAACUAUUGAAGCUGUAUCCCAUUUUGAAUCGUUUUUGUUUUGCACAUUGUAUUGGUUGAUUUUAUUGCGUACUUUUUCAGGAAAUCACUCUGUUCUUUCUGCUUAACCGUGUUUGAGUACUGUGUAUAACCUUGGGGUUAUAAGCAUCUGUAGCAUAUCUUUCUUCAUCGCAUCUUGAACCUUGGAAUUAGAUAAUGUUUAUGUUUGACCAUCUGCCAAAGUAAGAUGCCUGCACUUGCUUUGUUUUGUAUGUAAAUUAUGCAUCUAUUAGUCUUCGGAUACAAAAGAAUGUUCGACAGAUCUGUAGUUGAAA